GCAUAUCAUAGCGAGAAAAGAAAAUACAUGAUUUCCCUAGUAACGGCGAGUGAAGAGGAAAGAGCUCAAAGUUGGAACCUGUUUGGCUUAGCCAAACCGGAUUGUAAACUGUAGAAGUGUUUUCCUGACACGCCUGGUAAAAAAAGUCCUUUGGAACAGGGCAUCAUAGAGGGGUGAGAAUCCCGUCUUUGGCCAGAGCUGUUGUCUUUUGCGAUACAUUUUCAAAGAGUCAGGUUGUUUGGGAAUGCAGCCUAAAUUGGGUGGUAAAUCUCACCUAAAGCUAAAUAUUUGCGAGAGACCGAUAGCGAACAAGUACCGUGAGGGAAAGAUGAAAAGAACUUUGAAAAGAGAGUUAAACAGUAUGUGAAAUUGUUAAAAGGGAACCGUUUGGAGCCAGACUGGCUUGAUCGUAAUCAAUCUAAGCUUCGGCUUGGAUGCACUUGCGGUCUUUGCCUGCCAACGACAAUUUUUUCUGGGGGAAAAAACUAAUGGAAACGUAGCCCAUCUCGGUGGGUGUUAUAGUCCGUUAGAAAAUACCCUGGAUUGGAUUGAGGAACGCAGUGAAUGCUCUUUAGGGCAAGAUUGCUGGGUGCUUUCGCUAAUACAUGCUAAAAUUUCUGCUUCGGGUGGUGUUAGUGUGUAAAGGAGGAACUCGCCUAGUAUAUUUUUUAUUCGCUUAGGUUGUUGGCUUAAUGACUCUAAAUGACCCGUCUUGAAACACGGACCAAGGAGUCCACCAUUAGUGCGAGUAUUUGGGUGACAAACUCAUAUGCGCAAGGAAACUGAUUGAUACGAAAUCUUUAAGAUGGCAGUAUCACCCGGCGAAGACGUUUUAUACUGAACCGACCGAGGUAAAGCACUAAUGAUGGGACCCGAAAGAUGGUGAACUAUGCCUGAAUAGGGUGAAGCCGGAGGAAACUCCGGUGGAGGCUCGUAGCGAUUCUGACGUGCAAAUCGAUCGUCAAAUUUGGGUAUAGGGGCGAAAGACUAAUCGAACCAUCUAGUAGCUGGUUCCUGCGA
Molecule: ribosomal RNA, 1020 nt
Filed under: Mucor mucedo
Lineage: Eukaryota; Fungi; Mucoromycota; Mucoromycetes; Mucorales; Mucoraceae
Description: LSU rRNA
Rfam family: Eukaryotic large subunit ribosomal RNA
Source: RNAcentral